This 268-nucleotide long non-coding RNA is filed under the name Lathyrus oleraceus (garden pea). RNAcentral's name for it is "Pisum sativum (pea) long non-coding RNA (PSAT_LNC038053)". The record is from RNAcentral. Lineage: Eukaryota; Viridiplantae; Streptophyta; Magnoliopsida; Fabales; Fabaceae.
UGUUUCAAGGCUAGGUCGAGAAUCGACCUGCUCUGAUACCAACUGUAACAACCCGUAUAAUAUAUAUCUAGAAUAAUAUCAUACAAGUGUUAAUAAUUGGUACUGAUCCAAUAUAAGUGCCUAAUGGCAUCAAUAAAUAUACAUGUCCAAGCUAAAAACAUGAAUGGAACAUGAUAUACAAUAAUGCCUAAACAAUAAAAAUCUAAGAUCUAUGUGCAAUAUCUUCAUUGCACACAACUCCACAGCGGAAGAUCAUGAUAAACAGCAU